UUAUUCUUCUGUUUCGCCCUAAGGGGUCCUUUCUUCACGCAGCCGCCAUCGCAACCUUCUCUUAGCUAAAAUGCGAGCUUAGCAUUCUCCCGCCAUCGUCUUCUUCUUCUAUUGCAACAUUUUAGUUGAUGUUUGUUCUCCUUCUCCUGUGAAUCGGAAGUCACGACGGGAUCUCGCACCGACUUCGCGUGUUUCGCGUGAAGAAUAUUUUUGAAGUAGUUCCAUGUAGGGAGCUAGCCGUGAAGUAACGAUCUUUUUCUCCAAGCGCUUCUUCGACUGUUCUCUGCUAAAAAAGCGUCUUCGCUUCUUCGCCUUUUUCUACGACGUUGUUCCUGAUUGAUUGUAAGUCAAGAAGCGAGUUCGUUGCUAAGGUAGCGAUCUAUUUCACCCCGCGCUUCUUCGAAUAUUCUCUGCUAAAGAAGCUCUUCGCCUCGGUGAUUUUGUUUCAUAGCCUCAAACAUCGCAAUCGAAGCAGUGACCUUUUUGUCAGUUUUCACGUCGUUCUCCCCUCGUGCGCUCCACUGUCGCCGGCCUCUCCCACCAGCACCUACAUGCAUGCCAGCCAACCACCUUCAACUGAUUUACCUGCUGCCCUUGCAAUACCUGAAAGAUUUCAUCAGGCAUAUGAAGCUUGAAAAUUGAAAGAGUCUUCUCCUGUUUAAUUUUUCUACUCUAUCUUGAUGGAUGUGGUGUUAGAAUGGUUUGGUGGUUGAAUCAUGGAGAGGCUCAUUAGGCUCAUUCACAUUGGCUUUAUGUACCUGCAAAAUCAAUUCACUUGGAGCAAAAGCAUGAAUGAGGAGCUGGAAAGGCUGCAAAAAAUCCACCCCCCUUGAUCCAAUCUGUCGUGUUUGCUUCCAAUGAAGCGCGUAUCGGAGAUCAAAACCCAUCUCUCAACAAAUGGCUAUGGCUUCUACGAGCUGUCAUUGAUGUUGCAGAUGAUGUGCUCGAUGAGUUUGAGUACAAGCAACUUCAGAAGCAGCUGAACAUAAAGGAAAGACUUAUAAAAUUUGGUAAACGUGCUCUCUAUAUUGAUUCCACAUUGAAGAAACUGGAGGUGGUAGUGAAGAAACUUGACGAAGUUUCAAUUGAUGUUGGUAAAUUAUUUUACCUUACAUAAAAUACAAUGCUAGAGAAGUAGGAGCACCAAUUUGAGUUGGAAAAAACACGUGAAUCAAGUUCCUUGCCUAAAAUGAUCUGAUUGGUCGAGCUAAGGAUAAGGAGUUUGUUAUGCUGUGUUUAAGGAAGCCAUAAAAUGAACAACCAAUUCAUACUACAACCACAACGUUGUAUAGAAACAUUUCUGUUCUAUCUACGGUCGGUCAUGGAGGUAUGGGGAAGACAACUCUGUUGCAACAUGUCUAUGAAGAUGAAAUGACAAUGGGAUUAGAUCUUAAAAUCUGGGUUUGUGUUUCCAACAGUUUUGAUGAUAAAAGAGUCAUUAAAGAUACUUUGGCAUCCUAUGAAGGGAAGAUGUUGGACUUGGAGUCACUUAAUAAACUUCAAGAGAGUCUUAAGAUCAAGAUGAUGUUCAAAAAUUUUUUACUCAUUCUGGAUAACAUUUGGGAGUAGGAUAAAGUCAAAUGGGAGAAUUUGUUGACACCUCUGGCCAAUGGAUGUUUGGGAAGUAAAAUUUUGAUAACAAGUCAAAUAGACUCGAUUGCAAUGAUGAUAUCAAAGGUAAUUAAAAAGAAAAUGGAAAUAUUGAGAUUAUGAGGCUUGUUGGAGGAAGUGAGCGUUUGCAACUCCUCAACUAUCAUACAUUUCUUAAUAUGGGGAAUCUUCAUGAUAAUAAGAAAAUAAGAGUCAUUGCUGGACAGAUAGCUAAAAAGUUCUAAAGAAUCUCUGUUGGUAGCAAUGGUCAUCGGCGGUAUUUUGAAUUUUAGCUUUACUGAAAAAUAUUUGAUGAAAGUCUUAAACAAUAAUUUUGGAAUUAUAAAAUUGGAUCAUAAUUUUAUUAUACAUAUCUUAAGAUUAAGAUAUAAUCUUUUGCCAAAACAUCUAUAAAAUUAUUUCACUUUUAUAGUUAAGUUGUUUGGAGUGGCACACUUUACCUCCUUUUUUGUACUUCUCUUUCUCAAGUUUCUUACUCUUGUUGGUAUGCCAAAAGUAAAACAACAAUGCAGUAAAUUGUAUGGGAAUGAUAGAGAUUUUGUCUUUCAAUCUCUAGAGAUGCUAUGCAUCAAAAAUUUGAAUGCACUGGAGAAUUGAUUAGAUGCGGCUAUAGUGGAAUAUUAUUGUAGGUUUCCAUGCUUGAGAGAACUAUGCCUAGAAAACGGCUCAAUUUGCAAGAGUUACCCGCUUGGCCUCCUAUGCUCAAGGCAUUAAAUGCAAAUAACAUUGGAUAGAAAGCUUUGAAUUGUUAUAGCAUCUCAGAGUCUGUUCCCCUUGAAGUUUUAAAAGUCUGCUGUUCAAACAUCACAUCUCUUCCCCUAGCUGAUGAAAUUCCUGCACUCAGAUGAUUGGAAAUUAGAGAUUACCACAAUUUGAUCUCUCCCGAAGGACUACAUGAAGUGGAGACUACUGAGACUUGCCAGCUCAUUAUAAGUGAACUUGAUAUAAAUGAUCCAUCUGUUUUGCCAAUGACACCAUUAAGAAAUAUCAACUCCAUCCAAAAGUUAACAAUUGAGAUAAAAAUGAACUGGUUUAAUUUCCAAUUGAGGCAGAGCAGUGGUUUUACUUUUUGCAAGUUAGCUCAUCUAUUUGUGAGUUAAACUUUAGAAGGAUAAAAUCCCUACAAUCUUUCCCUUAUUGGAAUGUCUUUCUUCACUUAAGGUUUCACAUGUACAAUAAGUUGCAGAACUCCAAAAGUUGCCAAACAUCCCAACCUCUUUGGAACGAUUAGUACUCAUCCAACUCAAAUUAUUAUAGAUCCAACCUUCUUGCUUAUCUUUCUCCUAUUCGUCACUUCAAAAACUUUUCAUUUGUGAAGUUCCUUAGCUGCAAGAAUUACCAGACCUCCCUUCCUCUGUGUUUUUUGCAUCUAGAAUCUCUUGGUAGCCUGGAUUGCCCGCCUUCUUGCCUUUCUAGCCUUUCCUCUUUCCAUGAACUUCACAUUAAUUUUGUUCCUCGGAUCCAAACAUUACCUACCCUACCUCCUUUGCGUGAACUAAAUUUAGGUCAGCUUGCAAACCUGUAUUGCUUGCCUUCUAAUCUUCCUAGUCUUUUUUCUCUAAAAAAAACUAAGAAUCAAUAUGUUUCCAAAGAUCCCAGAAUUGUCAAACCUCCCUCCAUCUUUGUGUUUUCUUUAUCUAGAAAAUCUUGAUAGCCUUGAUGGCUUGCUUUCUUGCCAUCCUAGCCUUUCUUCUCUCCAAGAAUUUUGUUUCUUUUAGUACCGGGGACACCGAAGUCACUCCAAUCUAAAGUCAACAACUUUAAAUUCUUCUUGUCACUUAAUUUUGCAGUGCAAGCUUCUUUGGUAUCAUUUAUGCUCUCAAGAAAUUUGAUAUGUAAUAGUUGAAAGAUCAUUCAUCUUCUCUAGUUCUCCAAUUCUAUAGUUAGUCUUAUUUGUAAAGCAAAAUAAUUCUGUGAUCCACAUAAUAAUUAACGUUUCUUGCUUGAAGUUAUGAUCUUGUGGGAAUAUGAAACAAAAGGUGAAACAAUUUUGUAGAUGCCUUGGCAAAAAUAUAUAGCUUAGUCUUAAGAUGUGCAUGAUAGCAUUCUGAUCUAAUUUUAUACUUCAAAAAACACUUUUUAAGAUUUUCAUCUAAUAUAUUUUAGUGAAGUUAGAAUUUAAAAUGUCACCGACGACUCUUUGCUGCCAAUGGAGAUCCUAAGAGCUUUUAACUAUCUAUCUAGCUAUUACUCUUAAUCCAGACCUCUCCCACUCCUUGGAAAAUAUGAUCAUCAACAAUUAUCGUCCAUAAUUGCAGAAGUGUUAUCAAAUGAUUUCAAGUUUUGACAGGCACAAGAUUGUUCAGAUUCCUCAUUUUCAUAUUUCUACUAAAUGGUAUAUUAUGAGGCGUUUUUCAUUCUCCAACUAUGACUUCUAGAAAGACAAUCUAAGCACUGCUCCAAUU
Molecule: long non-coding RNA, 4016 nt
Organism: Dendrobium catenatum
Lineage: Eukaryota; Viridiplantae; Streptophyta; Magnoliopsida; Asparagales; Orchidaceae
Exons: 3
Source: RefSeq, a predicted model, not a curated record